CAGUCCUGACCUUGUCAGCUCGCUCUGCCCUUAUCUUCCCGCAAGCACUAAUGACUCUGUAAUAAUCAUCCCUGAGCCUGAGACAAAAAUAAACAGGAGCUUUAGGCAGGCACCGCUUCCUCUCCUCCUCCUCCAUCUAUGCAUUUCAUGGGAGAGUUGGCUUAUUUGCAGCCUAAGGAUUUGGGUUUCAUGGAAACGAUCUGCCCAGUCUCUCUGAUAAGAGGACGCACCCAAGAAAUCCUGCCCUUGUCCUGGCCACUGAAGGAAGCCGCAGCCCGGGAACCAGUGCACCUGCUUGGAGCGGGAGCUGUCCCCUCACCCAGCUUUCUGCAGCACGAGGAGUGGUUGCGUUCAGAAGCCAAGGAGCAGGUACCUACCCCGACCACUUCUGCUGCUGCAGUGCAAGCGUAACCCUGCACUGCCUAUGUGCAUGCUUGCGUGCACGCGUGCUUCAGUGAUGACACUCCUCCUGCACACAGCCGGGAGCCAGAGGCUGAUGAGGACAGUGCUGAGAGAACUCCCUUAAGCAACUGAAAUCCCUGGGCCAUAAAUCUAAUAUCUUCCAGGACUGCAGUCUGGUACUUUGGCCCACCUAUCUUUAGGAAAUGGCUGUGACUUUGGGGGAUUCUGCUUCAUCUCUGUUUGUUUGCACAGAUAUAUUUUGCAUAUAAGCAGCAAGGAAGCAGGAACUGAUGAAAGACAGGGAAGUCUGUGGUGUAUGGAUGAAGAUACUGCACUGUGCUUAUGUGGGCUAACGCUUGCAAGCUCUCUAGAAGGGUUAAGAUGUGUGCCUAAGCCAGCAGGGAUAAAUCAAAAAAAAAUCUUUUCUCUUGAGCCUCUCUUUAUCUACAUAUAUGGCCUUCAGCACUGUCUCCCACAAGAUUACAAAUGUAUUCCUGCAGCUCCUUGCAAAAGAGCCAGGAUUUGACUGAAUCUUUUCAGAAUAUUUUAGGUACAAGAUCAUCCUACACUUAGCUUGAACUCUGAAUGAAACCCUUCUGAAUGCUAGGAAAGCAUCAUUUAACCAGGGUUUUUAUUUUCUGCAUGCUUCAGUUCUUCAGUCAGGAUACCUGGCACACCACAAAAGCCUUUAUUUACUGGGCUGGAUUUCUGAUGCAUCCAGAAAUGGAAGUGAAAUGUUGCUUGAUGCCCUGAGAUCCCUUUGCAACUCUCAACCCACAUGGCCACCUUGGAAAGUGUGACCGGCUCCAUGGCUCACUUUGAAAACAAAACACACCCUCCUCUUCUCUACUGACUGAUCCACAGCCCAUCACUAUUAUUUUUCUCUGCUCCCCUUGAGGAUGGAGCUACAUUUCCUUAGCAUGCACAGAUGAGUAAUUCUGCAGAAAGCUAGAAAUCUUGUUCAGUAUUACUUGGUAAAUGAGAAGUAAAAAAAGCUGGGCAACUGCUUCGUGCAAUGAGGAUCUCUGCUAUGGUACGGGUGUUUCACAGAGCUCAGUACAAAUGCACUGAAGUGCCUGGGAGCCUUGCUAGCAAAAGAGGGUUAGGCCUUUUCUCUACUGAGUAGUCCCAGAGUUGUUGUGCCUCAUUUCAGUGAGGUGCUGACCACAGUGUUUUCUCUCUGGCAGGUGAUAGGUUAGAGGACUGCAACAUACAGUGGGACCAAAGUCAGUUAUCAAUACUGUUAACAGUUGAAGUCAGGGUUUCAUACUACAGCUCACCCCAACAGGAGCCAAGGGCUCAUGUGUAUGGUAGGAAUCAGAAAUGUACUCACACCCAGAGCAUGAAGCAGGACUCGUUUGCUUGGGCAUGGCUGCACAUUAGGAUGCCUGUAUGGACCUGAAAGACAUGUCAGCUGACUUGGGAGUUCAGGAAGACAUAACUUUCAGCUGAUCGUUUGAUGCUGUGGAUGUAUGUCCAUACAUCUCCACGCCAAAGUAGCAGCAAAGCCGUUGUUGACCUUCCUGGUGUCUUCUAUGCUAUUAUAUUUUCAGAACCAAAUGGGCAGUUUGGCCAUAAAGUCCCGAGAAUGUAUGGAAAUCAAAUGACAAAUUCCAACCAGCGCAUAACAUAAUUAAUGCACAGUUAAUUAUCCUGGAUGGAAGCCUAGCUAGAGGAUUGUAGCAUGUAGAGACAUCAUGCACUGUAAAAAUAGAAACAAGAUAAACUUAUGAUAUUAAAAAAGCUAGUUUUUAAUGGAGGAGAUGCUAAAAUAUUAUAAACACCCAGAAAGACUAAACAAAGCCACAGGCUGCAGAGGAACUAUAUUUGUCAAAAAGAGGUUUUGAUGUGUCUUUCUGGACUGUUUCCUCACCAACUUUCCCCUGAUAGUAGGGUGUCGAGAUUGUGCUGUAGUCCUUCCAGGGCUGUAGCACAGCUUAUGGCACAGGCAAAAUUAAUUCCUGCCCAACAUACGCAACCAAAUGGUGUUUUUCUUACAGAACAAGGUACAGCACCAAACUUUGGGGCAAGGACACAGAUGAGGGUUGGAAACCCUGACUGCACUUGUUCAUACUUGCACUGUCCAAGCAGCUAAUGCUUCUCCACCUCUGAAGUGAACCAAGGGGGCUCUCUAUGCUCAUCCAGGGCCAAACACAAACCUCAGGGAUAAGGCAUAUUGGGAUUGGGAUAAGGCAUAAAGCAGCCCCUGGGUUGGAGCUUGGAUGGGGUCCUUGAGGAGCUGUAGGCUGAGACCACCUGCCUGACAUCUUCUCCUGGUUGAGCCAGCCAACACUGACCUUCCGCCCUGCAGGCAGGAGAGGUCUUUCAUUCAUACAGCCUCCAUGGCGGGGACAUUUGUGGACUGCUUCUGUAAAACAACCAACUUUGCACAGCUUUGUCUCUUUGCCCGAAUCCUUGGCAUCCUGAAAGGCUGGACAUGGCUUACAAGAUUUGGUUCUUUCUGCAGCUUAUCCCAGAAGCUGCUCCUGCUUACCACACAAGUAACUGCAUCUGUGGGAAACAGUCACUAACCUGAUGCUAAGAAGAAGAAUCUUAGAUUGAAAAAAGAAUCUCAGGAUCUAAGGUGAUGCAUGAUAAGUUUGCACUGUGUGAUAUGUUACCCUUCUGAGCAGGGAACUGAACUGAAUUCAGAAACCGAAGGAGACCCGGCCAUCCCCACCCAGUGUUGUACACAAGCGUCUCUCCUUCGUAGCCAGGCAAGAAAACUGCUGUGGCUAAGGCAGGCUGAAAUUGCACACGAUGAAGCAAAACCACAAGAAGUCUAUUCACUUGGAGUAUAGGAGCUGGAUAUGAAUCCAGGGUAUUGAAGAACUAGUUUGUAACACUCUGGAUUUAAUAUAGAUCUUCAUUUGUGACCUCAAGUAAUGUGCAAGAAGAGUACAGCUUGUAACCCUGAAGUUCAUGUUUUGAUUUUAAGAUCACAAGAAACUAAACUAAAAUCUCUUUAAAGGAUUGUUUCAGUUUAAAAAUGGGGUUUCUUUCCAUGGUACAUUUUUCUAGCUAUGAGAUUUAUGUAUUGUACUUGUAUUGAAGGUGUAUGUCCCCUUCAGUUUUAUUAGUGAGGGAUGCUAAAUAAUUUUGCUUUAGGAACUAAGCUGGAAAAUGGGUGGACUUCAGCCUUAAUGCAUUUACAUACCUAUGCUUGCCACUUCCUAUUUUUUCUGUAUUUGAAUGACUAGAACAACUUUGUUUUAAAGUAGUUUGUAUACACAUAAUAUAUUCAUAUGUAGUCAUUUAAUUAUGGUUACAUUUUGGUAGCACAGUCAUACAGUAGUUUAAGAUGUGCUGGAAACCAAAUGUCCUUGGUUAGCUUCUAAAUCACUGACUAAUGCUCAGAUUUUAUGCCCCUGUUUAAGUUUUACUGACUUGAAGGAAGAGCACGGGUCAAUUAAUUCUCAUAACAGGAAGUAACUGCGUUGCUGUUCCAAUCAAGUCUGCAGAGAAAAACAUCAUGCUAUUUCCAAAGAAAACAACUAUUCUACCAACCCUGAGUCCUGGACAAUUUAUUUAGUGUCAAUUUGUAACAGUGUCCAAGAUCUGAGCUGCCACAUCUAUGCAUUUAAUGUCAUGAAACUGGACAUAAUUGCUUGUCAAGAGUGUUACAAAGUCCUUUAACGACCUUAUUCCCUCUAGGAGGGGAGGCAAACUGGCACCUGUGAUCUGUAUGGCAGGAGCUUUGCUUGCACAGCCCUGGUGCAGUACAUGCACAUCAUUUGUUUCUCAGCCCUCAAAUAUCAUGAGAUAAUCCUGAUAGAUUUUCCCCGAUGACUUGCUGGGGAGCUGCUCACAUGUUGUGCAGCCAUUCCACGGUUCAUUAUCUGAAUUCCAAGUAUGGUCCUGUGUGUUAAGUACUUCAAACUGUUCAGAUUCUGCUCUAAAUAAAAGGGUAGGAUUAGAUAGGAAAUUCUUCAUGCUCAUAACAUCCUCCAGCCAUGCUCAUUACAGUAUUAUCUGAGGUCUACAUCUAAAAAAAGGAGGUGUGACAAUACUGAGUAUGGUAGUGACUGGCUUCCAGACAACUGGCAGCCCGAAGAUGUUUCCAGCCUGCAGGUGAGACCUCCAGGCACUUUAUUCAGUGCUAAAAACACCUGGGUACCUAGAAGAGGAGGCACCAGCACUAAGGUGAUAUAAAGGUGUAAUUAAAAAUUUUAUACUUUUCUCACACUUUGCUGCCCUCUAGUCCUCAAUAUCGUCCAGGGAAAGGUGAUGACUAAAUGCUUAUAAAAGGAGAUCAUUAAAUGUUUUUUUUUCUUCUCAGAGAGAAAGCAGCUCUCAUAGCCAGCAAUACAAUGUAUGGAGCAUUCACCCAGGAUGUAGGCAACAUAGAUUAAAUUUCUUUCCCUUGCUGUGAAAAAAAGUCCCACCAAUUUCAUACAUAUUCUCAGUUCUUCUCUGAUUCAGUGAUUGUGCAUGAGGUUAAAUCCUAGGUGCUCCUUGCAAACCACGCACGCUUGCUGGUUCCACUUCCCCCUUCCCCCACAGCCUUUGCAUCAUACUGUGUCUUCACUGGAAGUAUUAAUACUGUUUUUGCCAUUACCCACAUGCUGAGAACCAGUAGAAGACCCAAAGAUAAAUCUUGCCAGAAUUCAUUUAGACAAUGACUUAUUUCACUUCCGGUUUUAAAAUUUAAAUAAGCCAUCUUUCACAUACGGCCACUGCUUUGCAUGAUGCUCUGCAUAUGGAUCUGUGAGUAAUGCCUCAGCAGAGCGCAGGUGCCUGAGAUUUGCUUCCCAGCCUCUUCUCCUGUCACAGGCAAGAUCUGGGCCAUCACUGAGCAGUUAAAGAGAGAAGAGAGAAAUCCCCAUGACAGCUGCCUGUAGACAGAGAAAAGGCAGGGCUGGUGGAUGGCAUUUUAUCGAUUGCGAUGCAGUCAUACGCUUUCCUAUGAACUGAUGCAAUGUCACUGUAAAGCAACAUUGGAAGAUGCUUUCUGCUGAGCUCUGAUGCCGGCUUGGAAGAUAUCGUGGCCAUUUACCUCCUGAACAUGAAGUAACUUGCUUUAGUGAGUAUGCGACUAGAAAGCUAUGGUUGCAAACUGUACGGGUUUACAUUUGAGGUAGCAAGGCUUUCAGCAUUUAAAAUUAGCAAGCCAUAGUUGAAGGUUAAUUUGUUAUGUAUUUAUGCCUAAAUUUUCAGUGGACAAGAUUCACAUCCCUCACUUGUGAAUGUGGAGUAACUCCAGCAAGUUGCACAGGAUUACUGCAGGUCAGACAUGCUGCAACUGGGCACCUUUCCAGAAAUGCACCACUUUUGUAAGCAUUUCAUCUAUGAAGAGAGUUGUAUGUCCCUUUGCAGAGAGCAGAAUAUUUGCAUGAAGAGUAAAGCAGUAGCACAUUAGGCUGAUCAGGAUUUGUCUAAAUCAGAAUUUCUGUUUCUGCUCUAACUUAAGCCAGUCAGUUAUGUCUAAUGAGCUAGCACAGUUACGGAUGCUAGCCCAGAUGAGAUUGAACCAGAGAAAAGCUGGUGUUUCUAACUCAUCAUCUGCAACUUUAUGAGGGAAGAAUCAGAUGCUCUUUUAUGAAUAUGACUGAGAAAGUUUAAGAAUUAAUGUCUCCAGAAAAAAAAAAAAAGGAGCUGAUGAGGCAAGCAGUACUCCCUUGCUUCAAUGAAAAAUCAGCCUUUUUGGUGUGAGUUAACUCAUAAUCAUCUACUUUGAAUUACAACACAACAAAAAUUAUUUCUCCCAGUCUUUUUUAUAGACAGGAAAAGAAAUAAUUAGCACAAGAAGACACAACUGUGAAGGGCGGCUUUAGUUCAACCAUGUAGUCUUCUGCAUUAGCUACAUGUAGAAUUCAGUAUUUUAAUGGGAAAUGAAAGCUUUUACAACAUUCCUCAUUUUAUAAACGAUUCUGUAGCCACUGGCAAAUAGGGUUAUGUAAAGGCAUAACUCAUGGGAUACUAUAUUAAAAACAACAAAUUGAUGGGGAAGAUCCCUUUAAAGGUUUCAAAUUUUCUUCAGAUUAGAUAAAAUUAUCAAGGACUUGCAUUUAGAAGCUUUGUUAGAAUAAUUUCCUUUUAACACUGAAUGACAGACUCCCUUAAAGUAGCAGAAAAGCAGAAAAUAAAAAGGAAAAGAAUCUAUUAGAAAGGAAGGAAAAAUUUGGAUGCCAGGAAAAUAAUCAUAUUCUCAAUUUCCUAGCUAGAAAUUGUAUGAAGAGUGAUACACUAUAAUCUCUUAGACUGGCUCUGUAAAAUUAUAUAUCCAAUUCUCAUCAAAAGUGGUUCAGAAGAAAAAACUAUGCAAAACGGAUACUGCUACUUGACAAAUCCAAGAUCUGAAUGGCACACAUCGUUGCUUUCUGAGCACUGUGAAAUGCAGGAGAAAAGCUACUGUUGAUGUUCUUGCUUCUUCUAUUACCUUUUGGAGGAAAGAAUGACCUCCUACCCAAAUACAUGCUAGCUCAAUCACUGAUGAAUCAGGAGGCCCUCCCAUAUUUCCAUCAAAGAGUCUUGAACAUCUGCAGAAUUUGAGCUUUAUUUUUUAAACAAAAUCAUUUCUAGUCUCUGUGUUUGAAGAGAAAAAAUAUUCCAAGUGUGAACUGAGCGCAAAAUUCUCUGCUAUUAGCAGAAAUACUAAAUCAAUAGCCUUAUGAAAGAUGAACUCCCUCCCCAUCUCCCGCCUUUCAUCUCAGUAAUCUGUGGACUCUGAAGAUUGUCUCUGAAGGGUGAUUUUAGCGUCAAUUUUGUUACCAAUUUAUUUUACUGACAAAGAACAUAGAAGAACACGGAAAUAGGACUGAGCAGCGACAUUUAGGUCACUGAAUUCAGUCCCCUGCCAUAGCAGUACUGCAACACACAACCCGUCCCAUAAAUACAGAGAACUCUUCUUUAAAGCUACCAAUGUUUUUGGCACACACUAUUCUGAUUAAAGGCUUCCCUGCUCCAGGGUGGCAGGCACUUUCUUCUAAAACUAAGGCCAAAUGCGCUCAUGAUCAGUUUAUACCCAUUUGAUCACGUGCCAGGAUCAUUCUUCAGUGUAAAUACUUCUCUUUUCCUGAUGUUAACCCUGCAAUGUAUUUGACAGUAACUGGAUCCCUCUCAGCCUUCCUUUGCCAGACUAAACAUGCUAAGCUCUGUUACUCUCCUCAGCGCUGGCCCCCUGGUUUCUCAGUCCUACCAGUGACCUUCCUCUGCUCAGGCUGAGUUCAUCUUUCUUGAAACAGAGGACCAAAAUUUUAUGUACUAUUUCAAAUAAACUCACCAGUGUACUGUGCAAA
Rhea pennata is the source of this 7640-nucleotide long non-coding RNA. RefSeq lists it as uncharacterized. The record is from RefSeq and is a predicted model, not a curated record. Lineage: Eukaryota; Metazoa; Chordata; Aves; Rheiformes; Rheidae. The transcript is spliced from 4 exons.